GGGUCCGGUCCUCUCUGCGCCAAUAUCCGUCAUUUCUCUUCCGUUUGCACCGUCGCGCACGGUUCACCGCUACACCAUGUCUCCGCCCAGCUUCAAUUCAUAUUCUGCCAUCGUCUUGUAUUGUCUAGUUGGUUUUAAUUUGCUUGGCAUGAUUCUUUCCUCGGCUGUGGACUCGAGAGAUUUCGAUUAUCGGCAACGGCCUGUGAUUCUUCC
RNAcentral lists this unclassified non-coding RNA (213 nucleotides) under Hevea brasiliensis (rubber tree). Lineage: Eukaryota; Viridiplantae; Streptophyta; Magnoliopsida; Malpighiales; Euphorbiaceae. The record is from RNAcentral.